This 83-nucleotide transfer RNA is filed under the name Clostridia bacterium. RNAcentral describes it as "tRNA-Leu". It matches the Rfam family "tRNA". From Rfam's summary of the family: Transfer RNA (tRNA) molecules are approximately 80 nucleotides in length. Their secondary structure includes four short double-helical elements and three loops (D, anti-codon, and T loops). RNAcentral also lists the same sequence under 1 other name. The record is from RNAcentral. Lineage: Bacteria; Bacillati; Bacillota; Clostridia.
GCGGACAUGGCGGAAUUGGCAGACGCACCAGACUUAGGAUCUGGCGGGCAACCGUGGAGGUUCAAGUCCUCUUGUCCGCACCA